This 38677-nucleotide long non-coding RNA is filed under the name Salvia miltiorrhiza (redroot sage). Its description in RNAcentral is "long non-coding RNA (SMIL_LNC005659)". The record is from RNAcentral. Lineage: Eukaryota; Viridiplantae; Streptophyta; Magnoliopsida; Lamiales; Lamiaceae.
UUUCGUCACGCGGGCCAGCCAUGCGGCCGCGCGACGUGGCCGCGCGAGUCGCCGUAUUUCCGCCCAAAAUUCGUUUUUUUUAGCGAUUUUGGGUAUUUUUGAGAGCUACAAGACCUAGGGCAUAUAAAUACUCCCCAAGAACUUAUUCUCUGCAGACCUUUUAUCAUCUUUUACAUCUUUUGGAGAGCUUUGAGAAGACGGAGAACACCAUUGGAGCAAGAACUGAAGACUCUCGAAUUCUACUACGGUUUCAUUGUUGAAUGUUUAUUUGUGUAUUUGAGAUAUUGAUUUUUAGUCAUAUGUCUAUGUGUGGCUAGAAUCCCUUUUUCCCAGGGUUUAGGGAGUAGACAUGAUUUGAAUUUCUGACUAUUUGAUUCAAUUAAUUGAGAUUGUUAUUCCUUUCUAUGUUCUUGUUAUACUUGUUUGCUUUAUUGAUUGGCCACCAAUUUAGCAUAAUCAUAGGUUUUAAUUUGAGAUCGGGAGAUGAUAAUUAUUACCUGAACUAAGAACAUAGAACACAUUUAUUUUAAUUCUAAAGGGAAUUGAUAUUUGUGAGGGUGUUAAUCCUAUGAGCUUUUUGUGAGGGAAUCAUCCUCCACGAGAGAUAGAAUAUAGAUCCCUACCCCACAACCUUCUUUUGUUACUGACCCAUCUACAUAAGCCACCCAGGGUUUCACUUCCUCAGUUCUGGUGGUCUCUUGAAUGAAAUCCACCAGAGCUUGUGCUUUGAUGGCUGUGCGUGGCUCGAAAUCCACAUCGUAUUCGCUAAGCUCAAUGACCUAUUUCAUCAUUCGUCCUAAUAGAUCUGCUCUUCCCAAGACUUUUUUAAAAGGUAGAGAAGUGCGCAUAAUAAUUUUGUGUGCCAAGAAAUAGGGUCUUAAUUUUCGAGCAGUGACCAGCACUGCCAGUGCUGCUUACUUGAUUUCAGAGUAAUUGAGCUCUGGUCCCUAUAUUAGCUUACCGACAAAGUAUAUUGAUCUCUGAUGAUCCCUCUCUUCCCUGAUCAGCACUGAACUUAAGGAUUCUACUCCGACCGCGAUAUAUAGGUAAAGUACUUCUCUGGGUGCUGAUUUUGUGAGGAUGGGCAUCUCUGAUAAAUACGUUUUCAACUUCUCAACAACGUUUUGGCAAUUAGUUGUCCAUUCGAAGUUAGAUCAUUUUCUCAAGAUUUGAAAAAAUGGAGACUCUGAUAUGCUGAACGAGAAAUGAAUCUCCCCAGAGUUGUGAUCCUUCCAUUCAGAGUCUGGACUUCCCUGAUGUUCCGCGGCGGCGUCAUAUUCAUGAUGGCAUGUGUUUUAUCCUUAUUCACUUCAAUCCCCUGAGGUGUGACCUGAUAUCCCAAGAAUUUUCCUGUUUUGACCUCGAACGUGCACUUGUUGGGGUGUAACAUUAACUUGUUUCUGCGUAUUACAUCGAAGACUUCAUCCAAAUUAUGCGGGUGUGAGGCCGCUAUUCUGCUCUAGACCAUCAUGUCAUCCACGUAAACUAACAUAAUACGUCCAAUUUAUCCCGCAAAAAUAUUGUCCAUCAUGCGCUGAUAUGUUACCCCCGCAUUCUUGAGACCACAAGGCAUUCUGACCCAUCCAAACACACCAGCACAGACGACAAAUGCGGUUUUAGCUAUAUCGUCUGGGUGCAUACUAAUUUGAUGGUAUCCCUGGUAGGCAUCCAUCAUGGAGAGUAAUUCACAACCAGCGGUGGAGUCCACUAGUUGAUCUAUCCGAGGUAGGUGAUAACAGUCUUUUGGGCAAGCCACAUUCAAAUCUCUGUAAUCUACACACAUACGCCAUGUUUUUUUUCCUUUUUCUCAACCAUCACUGCAUUGGACAACCAUACUGGAUAUUGGACCUCCGCUAUGUGCCCCGCCUUCAACAGAGGUUGUAUCUGUUCCCGGAUGGCCGCAUCCUUCUCUGGCCCGAAGUGUCGUGUCUUUUGUAUUAUGGGUUUGGUGGCUGGAUCUACGUUUAAAUGGUGUUCUUCCAAUGUCCGGUCGAUCCCCUUCAGAUCUGCAGUGGAAAAAGCGAAUACAUUUGCGUUUCGCCAUAAGCAUUUUAUUACUUAUCUCCCCAGAGUUGGUUCCAUCUCUGUACCCACUUUGGUGGUGAAACCCGUUUUCCCUGUAAAUAAUUCCACUAGCAUACAGUGGUAAUUGGUUACUAUCAUAGGCUGCUUAUCUUGAUUUCUUUUGACCUCCUCUGUCUCUGCUCGUUUUGCUGAAUUUCCCGAUCUGGCAUUAAAAUUUCUGGUAAGGUUUGCUCCCGAGUAUUUCAUCUCUUCUCGUGGUCGCUUUCGUGAAGCUUGGGACGUCAGGCUACGAAUAUGGCACUCCUUAGAUACAAUCUGGUUCCCACAUACUUCUCCCACUCUCCCCCCUUCCAAAGAAAAUUUCAUCUUCAGAUGAUACAUUGAAAUUACAGCUUGGAAAACAUUCAGAGCGGGACGCCCCACGAUUAUGUUAUAACAUGGUUUUGGAAAGUCAAUCACGAGAAAACGUAAGAUCUGAGUUCUAGAUGCUUCUGCUUGCCCCCACAUCAUGGGUAAUUCUAUCGAUCCCACAUGGGUAAUUGAUUCCCUCGUGAAUCUAUAAAGGGAAGCUCUCGCUAGCUUUAGAGUUGUGUUUAAAGCCACAGCCACCAAGCAUUCCUUGUAUAUAAUAUUGACUGCGCUUCCGAUGUACUGUGCAAUUGGCUACCUCUGCCGAAAAUACUAUGGCAUCACUAUGUGGAUGUACAAUAUUUCUCAGAUCAGCAGGUCCAAAAGAUAUAUACGGCUCCUUGUAAUCAUAACGUAUGGACAUCACCUGUGAGGAGUACAGGCCUGCCUUAGCAGCUCUGAUAAUCUAUUUUUUCGCUCGGUUGGAUGUGGGGCCAUCCUCUUCCCCUAUGAUCAUAUGUACUAUUCUCAUUUCCUCUGGCGGGGGAUUUUCAGUUCUGUUCCCACGUUCUGCCCCUUGGCGUUGCCCUUCCUGUUUACCCUUUUCUAUGGGUGGAGGUGUCUGUUUCACAAAUCGAUCCAAUCUCCACUGCCUUAUUAAUAUUUCUAUCUGUUGUUUGAGGUUAUGGCAAUAUUGUGUUGGGUGACCAUAAGCAUUAUGAUAGAGACAUAGUAGGUUGUUAGGCCCCGGCUUGGGCUGUCCUCUUUCAUAUCCUUGGGGUGCACGAAACUAUGGCUCCCCUUUGACUAUGUCGAAGAUCUUCUCUUACGGAGUAUUUAAAGGGGGUAAAAUCAGUGAAUUAAUUCACGGCGUUCACCGCUUGUUGUGGUGCUUGAGCCUCCUUAGCUCUGAAAGGGAACCUGAGAGGUAGUCCCCUGAAUGUCGUUUGAUUGGAUCGAUCGUAUUGUCUGGUCUCAGUCUGCUCUACUCUGACCUCUGGUCUUUUAGGCCUGUUACGUUCAUAUUCAGCUCUGCGGGCAGCUUUGACUUUCUCCAAUUGAAUAUAUCCGGGCAACUUAGCCAUUAUCUCAUCGAAAUUAGAGGGUGGGUGAAUCUGUAAUUCCUCAAAGAAUGUGCACUGUUUUAGUCCUGUAACGAAGGCAUAACCUUUGAUCUGUGAUUCAGCUCUGGGCACCGCCAGGGAAGCCAUAGUGAACCUUGUCGUGUACUCCUUCUGUGUUUCAGUUGGUUCUUGCUUUAUUUCCAUCAUAGACAUUGCUGUUUUCAUUGUCCGCUUCGAGAUAGCGAACUGACACAUGAAAAGAUCAUGAAACUCCUCAAAAGAAUAAAUAGAUCCCGGAUCGAGUGUUCGGAACCAUUGUUGGGCCAGACCUAUUAGCGUGGUAGAGAAGAUACGACAUUUGAUUCCCUCAGAAUAUUGGUGGAGCAUUACCAUAGUUUCAAAUCUGGCCAUGUGCACCUCUGGAUUCUCAACCAUCAUAUUCCAUGUUAAUUGGUUUAAAAAGGGCUAGACUGGAGGCGUGGAAUGUAAGCUCGACUUCCUGUCGCUCGCUUGUUCUUCUGUCGAUCUCCACACCGUGAUCGGGAAAUGUUUGCUCUACUCUCACUAGGAUGGGAGGAGUGGAUCCACUCAUCUCCUUCCUCCUGAAUGUCUUCCUCCUCCUCUCUUUGUCGUGGUCCACCAUAAGAAAAUUUCCAUUUUCUUGGAACCAGUAGCUUUGCUCUUGCCGUUUUCCUUCACUCCUCUGGCGAUUUCAGCUUGACGCUCGUUUCCUCCUAUCACCGCUUCUAACUCUUGAAUAUAUUUUUGCAUGAGAUGAACUUUUUCUUUCAGCAGCUCUAGAUCUUCAAGAGAUGGUUUCUUGGUCUGGUGCUCUACUCUGUGAGAGGUUUUACUCGAAGUAUCCUCCACAUCCUUGAUGUUGUCCAUGUCCCUUGGGAACAAGGGCCCCAUUUGCCUAAAACGCCUCGGAAUGUCAGAGCUGUUCAGAUUAUGUCCUUCCCUAGCUGGUUGCGGGGCAGUUCCCAGACUUCCUGUAUAUUGAGGCUGCAACCAUGAUGUUUGUAAAGCCCCAGGAGUAAUCGGGGUAAACGGGACCCCCAACAUUUGUUGAGUAGCGAUAGCAGUUGCUCUGGCAUAGUGACAUUAAUUAAACCUUGUCCCGACGAGAAAGAUCCUGCUAACGACAACCCUGUGUUAACCUGCAUCGGAGUAGAGUGUAUUGGCUCUGUUGCCCUUAGUGGCGUUGACUCAACAGAGUGAGCUCUCUUAUCACUUCCUGUCAGAUUGGGAUUGGUAUUGCAAGCUUCCUUUCUGAAAUCCUCAUUAAGGUUCCUUGAGAUGGUAGCAUUCUUCGUUUCCUGAUAUAUCAAAACAGAUUGUAAGUGUAUCCAUCACAUAAAAUCAUGAAAACGCUCAAACGUGAAUCACGUCUGACAGAUCAUGAGAUGAACGUUUUAUCAACUGGGGAAAAGAGGAAAAAGAACAUAAAAACCAGAUUUCUAUCUUCUUGAGAAAUUUCUUUCCAAAAUUUAUGCGUUAACUCUGAAGAGGCCAAAUAAUGCUUUUAAACAUAAGGACAUCUCGAUUUGCUCCAUUAUUUUUAGGUUUAAACAUAAGCACCAGGGUAUGUGGUGUUGUAUCAUUCCAGACCUAGAUCAUCAAAUGAUCCUUUGGCACGAGGAAGGUUUUCCAGCCUAUAUACCACUUCACAUAUAUUAGCAAUCUUUAGAUCGAUGUUCAUUUUUCCAUAAAACAAGCAUAUCCCUCAAAUCACCGCAUAUAUUUCAUUACCACCCAGAAAAUACGCAGACAAAACGAUUAUCACAAUGAGAACACAUAAUUUCGGAGCAAAAACGAUAUUUAAACACCGCACUAGCGAUUUCUAUCCAUGAGUGGCUCAAUUUCUCCAUUAUGACAUAGAUCACUUAGUUUGUACAAGUUUUUUUUUCAAUCCUAUUCGCCUUCUGAUCCGGAAUACUACCUCGAAGAUGGAAAACUUUGACGAGUAUUUCGGAAAAACGAAAUCGCUCAUUAUUUCCUCACGUCUUAGACUCAGUUUCCCACAUACGGGGCCUGUUGAUGAGUUCAAGAUUAAGCCUAGAUGAUUCUAUGAUGGAAGAUCUCUUGGAUUCACCUGAAUUCUCAUAGCUAAGAGAGAAACAUCAAAAACUUGAGUAUGUGGAAUAUCGUGUGUAUAUUAUUAUGAGGAUGAACUAUUUAUAGAGGUUAUAAGAAGGGUAUUACCGUAAUUCUACACUAAUACACGCGUUCCGCGCACUAACUACCUGAACCUAGACUGAUAUAUCCUAAAAAGGUGUCGAAUUUUUUGUUGGAAUAUUGUCUCUAACACCAGCUCUGUAACCGCUUCUCUGGCUUGGUCAGAAACCGCUUCUCUGGUGGCUUCUCCUCUAGCUUGGUCUGGAUCCACUUCUCUGGUAGCUGCUACUCUGGCAGGUUUGUCUGGAGACUUCUUCUCUGGCGUUCCCAGGACAAGGUUAUCUUGAGCUCGCCUUGAUCUGGUUUGGUUUGAUCUGGUCUGGUUUGGCUUUCCGUGAUACUCGGGUCCAUCUAAAUAAGUUACGUGUCAUGAUCUUAGGAAAGUGCAUAUUUUACUCCUCAUCAAUAUAGUAAAAUGAGAUCUUCCAUCCCACAAUUUACUUUGUUUCAUUCUUAAUUUCGCUAAUUUAUAAUUAGUUGUUAAAAAAUUAAAAUUAAAAAAAAUUAUAUAUCCUAAUUUUGAAUUAAUCAAUUGAAAUCACAUUAGAAUAUAAUAAACUAAUAUUGAAAAAAAAUUAUAAUAAAUUACGAGUGAGACACAAUGGGACACACUGUAAAUUGUGGGAUAGGAUCUCAUUUUUAUAUUAAUAAUAGUAGAUUAUUUAUCUACUAAUACAUAUAUAUAUAUAUAUAUAUAUAUAUAUAUAUAUAUAUAUAUAGGGAGAGGUUCAAAUAAGAACCACUAAUAAAAUAAGAACGGAGAACCAUUUUAAGCCAUUCGAUCAUCAAGAUCUACGGUGGAUGCAUCAUCUUGGUGGAUGGAUGCAGGUGCUGGGUUCGAAUCCUGAAGGGAGCAAAAAAUUAUUUUUUCGGAUGCAUUAAAUUUAAUAGCGGAUGCAUUAAUUUGUAUAGCAGAUGCAGUAAUUUUAUUGGUUCUUAUGUUCUCACGAUAAUUGUGGUUCUCACUAUAACAGCACCCUAUAUAUAUAUUAUAGAAAUAUAGUUCUAACAAUAACUUUUUCCAUAAAUUUAUCUUUUCUUAUUCUUUUCUAAAAAUUGUCAAAUUUAAUUUAUGAAAAAAUAUUUAGUAUUCAUCUUAACUUAAAAACCAUGUUAAGAUCUUUAAUUUGGUAUAACAAUUAUAAAUACAUAAAUUUUAGAAUGAAUAUUCAUCUACAAAAUUAUAUUAAUUUUAAAAGUAUAAUUUGUAUUAAUUUUAAUAUAAAUUUUUAGAUGAAUACUUAGUUAUAUAUCUAACAAUAGAAUUUCUUAUAUGAUUUAAAUUUAUUGAAUUUGUAAUGUUUAUGUACGAAUAAUAUAUUUAUUUAUAUAGACAUAUCUGAUAUUUAUAUAGAUUAAAAAUGAAACUUUAAAUAUGGUUUACAUUUAUUUAGUUUUAAUUUUUCAAAUUCUUCACUACAUGUUAAAUUUUAAUAUAAAACUGAAAUAAUUAUAUGAUAUAAUAACUAUUUUACUUUUAGUUAGAUGCAAAAUUUACUGACUAUUGUAAUAUGCAACAAUUGAUUUGUACAUAAAAAAAAUCUUAAAUUGAGUUACGGUUAUCGUAAUUCUAUUUUUUUUCAUUAUAAUGUAAUUAUUAUUUUACAGUACUUAUUAAAUUUAAUAUUAUACUCAUUGAGUUGAUAAUAUUGUUAUUAUAGACUACUUCGAUUAAAAUAAUAUAGUUAACAAAAAUUAUUUUUUGUUGUCAAUUAAACUAAUUAUAAAAUAUUUAAUAUGUAUAUCAAAUUAAAGAUCACGAUAAGAGAUUUAAUUUGAUAUAUUUUAUGUAAUUAUCCGAUUUAAAAUGUAAAAGAUAUAUUUAUUGAAAGAUUAGAAUUAAAAAAAUUCUCUCUCAUCUCUCAUCUUUUUUUGAAUAAAUUUAUUUUUCCAAAAAUUUUAUUUUCGUUUUAAAUAUUUUUUUUGCUUUUUCGUCAUAUCAAUUUUUAUUAUUGUGAAGUAUUCUUUAUUUUGUUAUUUUUUUAAUAUUAAGCUCAAAUAUAUUUAGUUAAAAUUAAUUUUAUUAUAUUUAUAAAUAUAAUAAUUGAAUUGGUAUCAAUUGUAUAUAAAUAUAAAAAUAUAAAAAUGUUUCCCGUGCAUCGCACGGGGUGCAAAUACUAGUAUGUAUAUAUAUAUAAAUUCAGAGUGAAAGAUUAGGUUAACUAUUAAUUAUACUAUUAACUAUGUCAAUAAAUUGAUUGAUAGGGACCCCUAAUCCCCUAUUAAUACCAAAUCAUGAAGUCUGCCUACUUUAUAUCGCUUUCUUCAAAAUAAUAUUUCAGUGCUUUAAUCAGAUAAUAGGUUUGGUCACCCAAUGAAACAAUUUGCAUAUAUAAUUUUCUUGAUCUUAUCGGAAAUUGGCACUACAUGAUUGAGCAUUUCUUGCAUCUAUGCAUUGACACACAGAGAGAGAGAGAGAGAGAGAGUGUGUACAUCAAUUAAUUAAACUUGAAAUUCAAACAUGCCUGAAGCAGAAAAACAAACUAUCUAAAAUCCAAGCAAGAGACUAAUAGAUGACUGAAACACACUUAGACAAUAGUUUUGACCUGAAUGGACUGAAACACAGUUUGCGUUGUGGAGGUGGGAAUGAUGUCGGAGACGACGAGCACCGUAUCUCCAUUCUUGAUCAACCCUUUGGUCUUCAAAAGAUUGACAGAUGUGGUGAUGUUAGCUUCCAUAUCAUCUGAAAGAUCCACCAGAAGUGGAGUGACUCCCCAGUGUAGAUUGAGGGCCAUCCUCGUGCUGCUGUCGUUUGUGAAGGCGAAUAUGGGAGGAUUUGGACGGUUGCGUGAGAUCACUGAUGCCAUGCGACCGUGCCUUGUGUACACGAAAAUAGCAUCUAUCCCCAAGUUGUUUGCUGCAAUCAAAACAAAAGCAUGUAACCAUUGCAAGUUGAGAUAUUGAUCAUAUGGGGAUUGGAUUUGGCAGCAAACAUACCCAUCGCUGCAGCAGAAUUGCAGAUUUGCUCAGCAAUUUGGUCUGGCAAAGAUGCUCCGAGGUUAUGCUGUAACAGGACGUCUUGCCUGUUCUCUUCACGACUCCACAGUUCCAUCCGACUACUGGUCAUCCGCAGCACAGACAGAGCUUUCUGCCCGAAUGGUCCAAUAGCCGACUCUCCAGAGAGCAUCAAUGCAUCAGCAUAUUGCCGAACCGCUUCUGAGACAUCAGCAACCUAUAACACAGCACAGCAGGAAACUUAUAACCAACACUAUCUAACUUUCUAGUUCAGAUUUUUUGAAAUUAUAAAUGUAACCAGCAGAGAAGUAAGUAGCCAACACAUUUAUUUUUUGAAAAUUCACAUUGUCCUUAUGGUAAAUCAAAAGGCUGUGCGUUUCUGGAAAGGCGAGACUUUUAUUUUCUAAUCAGCUAAUUAGAAAUUCGACGAGGAAAAGAAUUAGCUACCUCAGCUCUUGUUGGGGUAGGAUAUUCGACCAUCGACUCCAAAAGCUGAGAAGCUACCACCACUGGCUUGUUAAGCUGCCUGCAUAUGUAAGUGAUUUCCUCCUGUACCGUUGGAAUUUGUUCUAGUGGUAUUUCGACACCAAGGUCUCCUCUUGCUAUCAUGAUUCCAUCAGAAGCUGCAACAAUUUCGUGCAAUUUAUGAAGAGCCUCCAUACUCUCUAUCUUUGCCAAUACUUCUAUUGAUCUGUGAACAAUAAAUUCCCCAUCAUAUUCCAUACUCUAAAACACGCAAAUGGAAUCCGCGCCUAACACGCUGAUGCACAUUCAUACGAGCAAGGACAAGUUACUUACUUGGAGGAUUUGGUGGCAAUGUAGUUCUUCAGAUGUGUGACAGCAUCAGCAUCAUUCACAAAUGACAUAGCAAUAAAAUCAACACCUUCAGAAAUCCCAAAAUCUAUGUCGGACCAAUCCUGAUAAAUGAAGCAGAUAUAUUCAGACUGAGAUAGAUACUUCUAUAAACCUUCAUUCAAGCAAGUCAAGAAACAAAGUAUUAGUGCUGAGGAAUAGUUUCACUUCUAGACUUCUAGUUUGUUCAUCAAAUCCCUUAUUCGUCGUUUUCAGUUUGUAAUGAACAAGUUUCCUAUGAUCACUAGAUCUUAUUUCCAAAAUACUUUAUUUAUAUACCAAGGCAAUGUAGAAACUAUCUGGUUAAGCAUGAAACUCAAUCAUAAGUGAUAACUACAAGUUGUGCUUCACCUUAGGUGACAGAGUAGGAAGCUGAUAACUUUUCUCGACAAGCUUUCCAUCUCUCCAAAAACUUAGUUUAGCUCGUGGCAAGAGCAAGCCAGGGUCCGUGCACUUACAACGCAGAUCAUUCCCAACCUUUUCCACCACUUCGAAGGUUGCCAUUCCUCCAUCAAAUACAAUUUCAUCGCCCACUUGUAUACCUGAAGAGUAAGAGGAUAGUCUGAAACAACAGCCAAAACAGGAACCCUUUUGUUGCUAGUAAAAGUCACCAAUCCAACUUCACAGACUAUACACAUACCUUCAGCAAAACCUUCAUAAUUUGCUUGAAUCGUAAAUGGACGCGAACCCUCAAAUUUUUCAUUGGUAAAGAACCAAAUUGAGCCAUCCUAACAAUCCAACAAAAAUUGAACACUAUCAAAAUACUAAAGUUUUCCACUUUUAUUCAACUAUAUCAGCAUUCAAAAAAUUAAUACCUCUGCUUUAACAGAGGAAGGAGCGCCAUGAUCAACCACUUGAAUCUGACUACCUUCUGUAUCAAUCAUCAAAGACACACAAAACCCCUUUUCUUCAUUCAACUUCUUAAUCUUCCUAAUCAAAUCCUGAUGCCACUCUCUAGUGUUGUGACACAUGUUGAGCCUAGCCACAUUCAUCCCUCCCAUUGCCAGCUUCUCCAGUUCAUCCGAAGAGCAACACGCGGGCCCUAUCGUGCACACGAGCUUCGUCUUCCUCAACCCCAAGAACCCCUUCUCCCUCAAUUCCACUUCUGUAACCACAUCAAACCCCAAAGCCCCUCCCAAACUCUUCGAAUCCUGACUAACCCCUGCACUCUCCACUCCCACUUGCAUCACUGCCUCUACUCUACCAAUUCUAGACUCACCAGCUCUCAACUUCCUAUAAUUAAGUGCACAAACUCCAUUCCACUUAAUUGGGACACCAAAUACACCCUUCUUGAAAUCAACAGCCCCCUCUUUCUUGAUCAUCCCACCAAACUUGGCUGCUAAAUCUCCCACAACAGCCAUGAUCUCUUAAUUCCUAUAAAUAUCAAAACUUGCUAAAUUUAAGGAAGAGCGGAAAAAACCAAAACUUGUAGCAACCAAAAAAAUCAAAACUUAUGUAAAAAUCGAAGGUCGCAUCAAUCAAGAAAAAUAGUGAACUCUAAAGGAAGAACAAGAGAUUUGUCAAGUGUUUAGGCAAAAUGGUCUUCGGUAAACCCGUCAGGAAUUCGUAUUUAAUAUGCCAAGAUUUUCGGAUUUAACAAGAAAAAUAUGCAGUUGGUUGGCUGCUGCUGCUGACAUAUAUAGUAGUAUAUGUAAUGACUAAUGUGGUACUCCCAAACCCUACAACUAAAAGAGUAGCGAAAAAUCGUAAGACUCAUUUGUUAAUUAGUACUGGUAAUUUGAAAAAGUAGGCACAGCUGAAAAGGGCGGCAUAGUGCACACAAGGGCCAGUCCAAUUUAUAACGGUCAACUGCCCUAUUGAUGAUGGCUAACGUGAGCCGUGGCGUCUCUGUCACCACACUCUGUAAUAGCGAAACGUUUUUCUCUCUUGUUUUGUCCUUUUUUCCUCCCAAAUUUCCCCUCUGCAUGGACCCCAGAUAGAAAACAGUAAAAACUAAAAAGUAAUUUGGUGGGCUUUAUUUUUUGAACAUGUAGGUGGGCUUUGUUUGUUGGAUUUUAUGGAAUACAAUAUCGUUAAACAUCUUUCUCUUGUUGUGCUUUAUUUAUUAUUAAUAUACAGUAUUAUAUAUCGUUGGGACAAAAUAAAUUUAUUAAUGUCUAGUGUCUAAAAUAAAUUUGAAUAUUGUUUCAAAAAAAAAUUGAAUAGGUUUUUACUAAUAGUAUAGUACUAGAUAAAAAUUAGCAUCCUGGCAAAAUAUGUGCUGUCCUAACCAAUGAACAAUGAGAAUGAUAAAAAAUUGCUCUAAUAAUGAUUCUGCACAUCAAAUAUCUGUUACAUUAUCAUUAACUUGUACGUCCAUCCGUGCGUUGAACGGUGAAAUCGAAAUUAAACGAUAUGUUAAAUAAAUAAAUAUAAAUAUUAAACAUAAAUAAAAUUUAAUAAAUGCAAAUUUUAGUUUAAAAAUAAAAUAUUAAUUACUCAAUAAACUUUCGAAUUUAAAAACAUAAUUUUCAAUUAUGUAUAAGUGUAAUGAUAAUUAUGGUUAUUAAAUUAUUUUAAAUUAUUUGAUAAUGAAAAUCAAUAUAUUACACAAUAUUUGGUCACUAAUUGAAAAAAAUACAAAUUUUGGUCAUUUUUAUGUGUAAAGACUGUUUUGCCCUUAAUUAGGGCGGACCAGAUUCGGGUUUACGUGCGGGUUAGGCACAUAUGGCACUAUUAGUGCCAUAUGUGCCAACCGAAAAAAAAAAUCUAAGUAUAUGUCACUAAUGACACUAAUAUGGUCAUAAGUACCAUUCGUGCAACACUACAUAACAUAGUAUAUGGCACUAAUGGCACUAAUAUGGUCAUAAGUACCAUUCGUGCAACACAUUAAAUGGAGAAUCGAAACCCUAAAUGAUAAUUUAAACCCUAUGGGAAAGUGUUCAAAAUGACACUAAUGACACUAAUAUGACAAGUACCAUUCGUGCAACACUGAGUAUAUGUCACUAAUGACACUAAUAGUGUCAUAUGUGUCUAACCCGCGCGCAAAUCCGAAUUCAACCCGAAUCUGGUCCGCCCUAUUUAAGGGCAAAAUAGCCCGAAAACGUAAAAAAUGACCAAAAGUUGUGUUCUUUCAGUUAGUGGUCAAAUAUUAUGUUUGCAUCUUCAAAAUGGUCAUAUGAAUAUAUUGUUUCUUAUUAUUAUAGAUCAUAAUAAUAAUAAUAAUAAUAAUAAUAAUAAUAAUAAUAAUAAUAAUAAUAAUAAAGAAAUAAUAAUAUUUUCAUACACAAACAUAAAUAAAAAGUUGAAAAUUUUUAACGAAGAGAAAGAAAAUAAAAUAUUUUAAAUUUUAAUAACCUAUUCAUUUUAAAUUCAUUUUUUAUGAUUUUUAUACCAUACAUUAAAGAUCUUCUUACGAACUUAAACUUAAGGUGCACAUUGAAUAUUUUUUUUAUAAAUUAAAUUUGACGAUGUUUAAAAAAGAGUUAAAAUUAUAAAAAGAAAAGAAAAUAAAUAGUAAAAAAAUUGAUGGGAGAAGAGAGAAAAAAAAGAGGAAAAAAUGGAGGGAGAAGACUCCUCUUUUAUAUAUUAUAGAUUAUAGAUUAGCUAGGGAUGUCAAUCCAGCCCAAAAUCCGUGGGCCGACCCCAGUAACCCGAUAAAAUUAUAGAGUUAUGGUUGAAAAAUCGCAACCCGAUUAUAAAUCGGGCUAGCCCGUUCGGGUUGGCGGGUUGAAGCGGGUCAGCCCAUCGGGCUGGCAGGCCAACCCAUUGGGCUACUGUUUUUUUUUUUUUUCAAUUGAAGUUUAAAAUACUUUAGAGUUUAGGCCUUUAAGGUUUGGCCUUGAAACCGAAUUUUUUCAGCCUCACUAGUCACUAGCGCGCCUCCACCCUCACUUCAAACAUUCUUCCUCUACCGCUGACCGAUCUACCACCUGCAGCCACACCGCCGCGCCUCCCUCCCCUNCCGAAACCCGGACGUUAGGGUUAUAGUUGAAGAUUUACACCCGAAAAAAUACUCCAGCCCGAUUAACCUGCACCCGAUUAACCCGAAAUCGAAAAUUCGGUGAGCUGACCCAAUUGACAUCUCUAUUAUAGAUAGAUGAACGCACACAACUCUUCAACAAAAAUAGAUACACCUCAACUUUGCAUUCCAAACUAUCCCAAACCAAAAAUCACAUUUAAAGUAUUGAAUUUUUUCCGAGCAUGCUAGUUUCAUUUUCCUUUGAGUCCUACAAAGUCCAAAACAUAAUUAAUUCGUCGAAAUUCCGGGUGUAUUGUUGGAGCAAUUUAAGUUGCAAGUCAUUGUAUUUUAUAGGCAAUUGUCCUCAACUAUUUAAACUAUUUACAAAGUAUUUUUGUUUCAUAGAGAAAAAUCCAACUCUUAUCGCUAAUUGCAUUUUUAUACUUUCAUUAGAGCAUCAGCAGUGAGGAUGACAUGAUAGAUGACCUAAUAGAGGAGGGACCACAUUGUAUCAAUGAGGUUGCACUGGGAUGACAUGAUAGCUGACCUGAUCUUUUUAAUUUUAAUUUUUAUAUUUUUUAUUUAAUUUUAAUUGCACAAUUAUUAGUGUGAUAAAUCCCAAAUACCAAUAAUUAGGAAAAGCGUGGAGGCAAAAUACAAUUAAAUUAAAAUAUUUAAGUAAACAUAUAGAAUCAAAUGUAGUUGUAAAAAAAAUAAAAAUAAAAGUAAAAGUAAAAGUAAAAAUAAAUAAAAAUUGGAACUCGAAAACGGAAUAAUUUGAUUGGUAUCUUAAUUAAAAACUAAAAUUAAAGGAACUGAAUAGGCUGUUGCUCAAGCCUCAAGGCAUAAACAACGAAAAAUAAUAGAAUUCGAUUUUUUUUAAUUAGUGCGUGAAACGCACGUGCAUGAAAUUAAGAAGAUCAGGCCUCACCUGAUAAAUCGGGUUGGCCUCGAGUCAAGAGGGAUGCAGUAGUGGGAGACCUGAUACAGUGGAUGACUCGAGUACCCCACUGUGAGUGCUCUUAUAACUUUUCGAAGAAAAAAUGAAAUAAUUACUAAUUAGCUUUUGUUGUUAUGCUCUAGCUAUUUGUCGAGAGUGAUUGAAAUUUCGUUAGGCUGACUCAUGUUAGUCUAAACGAAGCUAGUUGAAGUUGACAACAAUGACGAUCAAAUGAAUAAAUAUUUAUUUGCAAUACUGAUUUUUGUUAAUUGUUUCUUUUUUCUUUUUCUUUUUAUUGAGAAAGAGAGAGAAAAAAUUAUUAGUUUUCUGAAUAUCGUUAUUCAACAUUAUGUACUGCCUUAUUCGACAUUAUAUAUUGCCUUAUUCAUUAGUCUUACGAUUUUCAGCAUUAUGUACUUCUUAAAAUAUAAAAUACAAACAAUAUUAAGCCCUUAGAUAAUCAAGAUCUACGGUUGAUUCGUAACCAUAUUUGAUGAAUUUGUGGUCCUGAGUUCGAAUCUCAAAAGUAACAAAAAUUUAUUUUUCACAAUUCAUAACCCUGUUGGAUGAAUUCAUAUGUGUUAUACAUAAAAUUUGUACAUUGAAAAAUGUUUUUAUUUUUAUUUUAAGAAGUGUUUUCACGAUAGCCCUUCUCCCCCCUAUAUAUAUAUAUAUGGUGUGGUUCUAGAGAGAACUACAUUAUUUGUGAGAACGUNNNNNNNNNNNNNNNNNNNNNNNNNNNNNNNNNNNNNNNUUCUUAAGAUAUAAAAUAAGAAUUAUUUUUAGCCCUUAGAUCAUCAAGAUCUACGGUUGAUUCGUAAUCCUGUUGGAUGGAUUUAUGGUCCUGAGUUCGAAUCCCAAAGGUAGCAAAAAUUUAUUUUUCACAAUUCAUACCUUUAUACAGCAAAUUCAUACGUGUUCUACAUAAAAUUCAUACAUUAAAAAUUGCUCUUAUUUCUUAUUUUAAGAUGUGCUCUCACGGUAGCCCACCCCUAUAUAUAUAUAUAUAGGGUGUGGUUCUAGAGAGAACUACAUUAUUUGUGAGAACGGGAGAACCAUCAAAUCUAAUGCAUUCACUGUAAAAAUUAAUGCAUCCGCUGUUAAAAUUAAUGCACUCAAAAAAUAAAAAAAAAUGCUCCCUUCAGGAUUCGAACCCAGGAUCUGCAUUCAUCCAACAAGAUGAUGCAUCCACCGUAGAUCUUGAUGAUCGAAUGGCUGAAAAUGGUUCUCCGGUCUUCUUUUAUUUAUGGUUCUUUCUUGUAACCUCUCCUACUAUAUAUAUAUAUAUAUAUAUAUAUAUAUAUAUAUAAUAUUGAUAGGUUCGAAAAGAAUCGAGUCCAAAAACAAGAAAAAAAUUAAAAGUUUGAUGAGAAAGAAAGAGUUUAUACUUUUGUGUUUAUUUUUGAAUGAAGGAUAAUGAAUGAUCUUUACAUUUGAAUAUUUUCUCACUAUUUAUACUCUAACUCCUAAACCAAGCUAAGCCCUAAUACCAAAGGCCUAUUAGUAUGGGUCCUUUGGCCAAAGCCUCGUUAAAACAUUUCAGACGAAAACUCAGUGUGUUGAGUAGGGUUUAAAUCUCAACAACUAGAAAAUAAACAAAACGAUAAAAGAUACCAAGUUUUACGUGAUUUGAUUAUGAAGAUCUACAUCCACGAAAGUGAUGAAUUAUCAUCUAACAAAUUUAUAAAUGUUGAGGAAAAAUAGAGUUUUAACCUGAGUAUGUAUGAUCGGAAAUAAAUCGGAGACAACGAAGAACUUAAAGCGCAAGAAAAUAUGAACACAUUACAAAAUCUUUCUCUCCAAGUAAAAGUUGUAUAUUGAUUGAUCUCUCAAAAAUAAGUACAAUGCGUUAUUUAUACUAGAAAUACAAAUGGUACAAUUGUAAUUUUUAUGAAUACUCACGUACACUGCAUGACAUCUAACUAACUACAUUCUUCAAGAGCACUAAUAAAACCGAAUUGGUCAGCUUUUGUCGGGUGUCGUUAUCUUUGCAAUGGUGAUCCGCGGUUGUGUAGUGAUUAGGCUAGUGUUGGCGUGGUCAAGCUCUUGACUUCCAUGUUGGCUCCUCAUCUUCAUAUAAGUGGUCAGUUGGCGUUGGUAUUUCUUCAUUGCAAUAUCCAUAUUUUCCCUAAGGAUCUAAUCUCUCAUUUUUUCCAAGUCAAAGUUAAUACCAAUUUCCACGUUUCCUAGAGGUCAGCCAGCAUGGAUUUUCUCCCUUGCUAAGGUCAUCUAGCGUGGGGUAUUUUCACCCUUGCUAGAGUCAGUCAGUGUUGGCUUUUUCCUUUGCUAGAGAUAAGCUAGCGUGGGCUUUUUUCCUUGCUAGAGUCCAGAGACAAACUAGCGUUGGCUUUUUCCUUUGUUAGAGAUAAACUAGCGUUGCCUUUUUCCUUUGUUAGAGAUAAACUAGCGUUGGCUUUUUCCUUUGCUAGAAUCGGCUAGCAUGGGCCUUUUCCAUUGCUAGAAGUGAGCUAGCGUGAGUAUUUUCCACUGCUGAAGGUUAACUAGCAUGGGUGUUUUUCAUUGCUGGAGGUUAGCUAGCGUGGGUAUUUUCCAUUGCUGGAGAAUAGCUAGCGUUGGCUAUUUUUAAUUAUUCUAUCAUUGUUACUUCAACAUCUCUCGAUGAUAGACUUAUAUAUAAGAGUGAGUAUAAUUCGACUAUUCUUUUUAUAAAAGAGUAUUAUCAGUAUGAUGUAUAGAGAUUAUCGGAAUUUUCACUAUAUUUAGACAGUUACAUUUUACACAUUGAAAAAAGAAUAAAAUGAAAGAGAGCCCCCUAACUCAUAACCAAAUGUGCUAUUUAUAAGUGUAAAAUUAAACCUAAAACACUUGGGCCUAUUUAACCCAAAAGCCCAAUAAUACAAGUUCUUCUGCCUAAACCCACUAAUUUGAUCCGUAUCUUCAAUAUUCCUUUAACUCUGACUUGCAUGUUCAGAUUUGGCCUUUCUCUUUCUUUAGAUUUAACACAACUCUUAAUUAUAAUACUCAACUUUGUUGGAUUUAGCUUUAUAAUUGCUUCGGAAUUUGCCCAACGCGACUUUUGAACCUGCGACAAUAUCAAAAUAAUACAAAUAUAAUAGUUUAAUUUUAGUUAUGUAUUGCUUAUUUUCGGGCCUUUCUUUAUAAGAGCAGGAAUGCCUAAUUCCAUCCUCAUCACAGUGGGAAAAAAAAUACUUGUCUAAAUAAAAGAGUUAAAAAUAGGGCUAACAAAUACGUGCGUGUCGGAUCGUUAUCGGGGUCGACCUGAUAAGACCAAACCUGAACACGCCCUGUUAAGGAAGUGCUCGACACGAAUACAAACCCGACACGAUUUACUCAAACCCGAACACGAUACGAAUCGGACACAAAUACGAUAAUAACACGAUUUGAAUCAUGUUGACAUACGCUAACGAUACGAUCUGAUUAAAACUUGAUUAAACACGAAACCUUAAAGGCUAAAGUGUAUAAAGAAUUAAAAAUUUAAAAUAAAUAUUUAAUAAAAAUAAUAUUAUUUCUAUCAGGUUGUACGAACUUGACAUGGAAUUAUCAAGUCGACACUAUAAGGACACGAAUCUGAUAAGGCUUGAUACUAAUUCAUUAAUUUCAUGCGGUUUCGUAUCGUGAUUUCGUAGCGUGUCGAAAAUUAUCAACCCUAGUUUAAAAUACAUAUAUCUUCUAACUUUCAGAUAUGAAACUAACACGUACCCAGAUCCAUACGCGCUAAAGUUCUAGUAACCUUGAUGCUAAACAUCCAAGUAGUAUACCCAAGCUGUUUGAUUUCCUCCUCUAAGUCAAAAUAACCAAACCUAUCCUUAUCUAAACCGAAUUUCCCCAAAACUUCACCACCUGAGUACAAUNGAGUGGAGAGGGGGAGAGAUGAAGCUAGUCCAGGAGGCGGCUGGAAUGGGAAACAGAGGGUAGUCGAGAGAGAUGAGGGAGGCGGCGGCGUGGCCGGCGGCGGCUACCGCCGCAGGGAAGAAGAGAGAGGUGGUGGUCGGAGGAGGAGGAGGAGGAAGAGGAAGGUGGGACCCACUACAAAAUAAAAGAAAAAAAUAAAAAAAAUUCAAGGAAACGGUGUUAGACGUCCGUUUUCUUCGUGGAUUAAGUUGCAUAUUUUUUAUGUACUAUAGGGGAGGUAUUUGCACCAAAGUCGAGUGUGGGGGGCUAAACGCUCUAGGGGGGUCUACUUUAAGGACUAAUCUGCACCUUUACCCUAAAUUAAAUUUGACGAUGUUUGAAGAAGAGUUAAAUAAUAAAUAAAAAAAAGAAAAAAAAUGAUGGGAGAAAAGAGAAAAAAAAAAUGGAGGGAAAAAUGGAGGGAGAAUACUCAUCUUUUAUAUAUUAUAGAUUAGCUAGGGAUGUCAAUCCAGCCCAAAACCCGUGGGCCGACCCCAGUAACCCGAUAAAAUUAGAGAGUUAUGGUUGAAAAAUCGCAACCCGAUUAUAAAUCGGGCUAGCCCGUUCGGGUUGGCGGGUUGAAGUGGGUCAGCCCAUUGGGCUACUGUUUUUUUUUUUUUCAAUUGAAGUUUAAAAUACUUUAGAGUUUAGGCCUUUAAGGUUUGGCCUGAAACCGAAAUUUUUUCAGCCUCACUAGUCACUAGCGUGCCUCCACCCUCACUUCAAACAUUCUUCCUCUACCGCUGACCGAUCUACCACCUCCAGCCACACCGCCGCGCCUCCCUCCCCUCCGGCGCAUCCACUCCCACCGGGCAACAGUGCGGCCGCACCUCUUUAUAUAUUAAAGAUAUAAAAUUUAUAUCUUUAAUAUCUAUGUAUAUUUUAUACAUUUUGCAUUAGAUCAUUAAGAAUAAUAAAAUACAAAUGAUAAUUUUAUUUUUACGCCUAUAACCUGGUUAGCCCGAUGGGCUAGCCCGAAACCCGGACGUUUAGGGUUAUAGUUGAAGAUUUACAACCCGAAAAAAUCUCCAGCCCGAUUAACCUGCACCCGAUUAACCCGAAAUCGAAAAUUCGGUGAGCUGACCCAAUUGACAUCUCUAUUAUAGAUAGAUGAACGCACACAACUCUUCAACAAAAAUAGAUACACCUCAACUUUGCAUUCCAAACUAUCCCAAACCAAAAAUCACAUUUAAAGUAUUGAAAAUUUUCCGAGCAUGCUAGUUUCAUUUUCCUUUGAGUCCUACAAAGUCCAAAACAUAAUUAAUUCGUCGAAAUUCCGGGUGUAUUGUUGGAGCAAUUUAAGUUGCAAGUCAUUGUAUUUUAUAGGCAAUUGUCCUCAACUAUUUAAACUAUUUACAAACUAUAUAUAAGAGUGAGUAUAAUUCGACUAUUCUUUUAUAAAAGAGUAUUAUCAGUAUGAUGUAUAGAUAUUAUUGGAAUUUUCACUAUAUUUAGAGAGUUACAUUUUACACAUUGAAAAAAGAAUAAAAUGAAAGAGAGACCCCUAACUCAUAACCAAAUGUGCUAUUUAUAAGUGUAAAAUUAAACCUAAAGCACUUGGGCCUAUUUAACCCAAAAGCCCAAUAAUACAAGUUCUUCGGCCUAAACCCACUAAUUUGAUCCGUAUCUUCAAUAUUCCUUUAACUCUGACUUGCAUGUUCAGAUUUGGCCUUUCUCUUUCUUUAAUUAGAUUUAACACAACUCUUAAUUAUAAUACUCAACUUUGUUGGAUUUUGCUUUAUAAUUGCUUCGGAAUCUGCCCAACACGACUUUUGAACCUGCGACAAUAUCAAAAUAAUACAAAUAUAAUAGUUUAAUUUUAGUUAUGUAUUGCUUAUUUUCGGGCCUUUCUUUAUAAGAGCAGGAAUCCCUAAUUCCAUCCUCAUCACAGUGGGAAAAAAAAUACUUGAUCUAAAUAAAAGAGUUAAAAAUAGGGCUAACAAAUCGUGCGUGUCGAAUCGUUAUCGGGUCGACCUGAUAAGACCAAACCUGAACACGCCCUGUUAAGGAAGUGGUCGACACGAAUACGAACCCGACACGAUACGAAUCGGACACAAAUACGAUAAUAACACGAUUUGAAUCAUGUUGACAUACGCUAACGAUACGAUCUGAUUAAAACUUGAUUAAACACGAAACCUUAAAGGCUAAAGUGUAUAAAGAAUUAAAAAUUUAAAAUAAAUAUUUAAUAAAAAUAAUAUUAUUUCUAUCAGGUUGUACGAACUUGACAUGAAAUUAUAAAGUCGACACUAUAAGGACACGAAUCUGAUAAGGCUUGAUACUAAUUCAUUAAUUUCAUGCGGUUUCGUAUCGUGAUUUCGUAGCGUGUCGAAAAUUAUCAACCCUAGUUUAAAAUACAUAUAUCUUCUAACUUUCAGAUAUGAAACUAACACGAUAACCCAGACGCGAUAAAGCCAAUUAAAUAAUCAAAAUUGAUGAUAAAAAUCAAAUGUGAGAAAAAGCAAAGGUGAAACCCGAUAAAUAUGUUUAAAAAGAUUAGUAAAAAGAACGUACGUUAUACGUGUAAUCAAUGUUAUUUAAUUUUAAUUGGUAAUUUAUUAUUUAAAAAAAUCUAUUAAUUCAUUAUUUUUAUUAGAUAAUUUAUUGGAUGGAUAUAUUUAUUUAUAAGUCUUAUCAAUAGCUAUAGAUAUAAAGUAUUCUUUAUAGAUUUUGGGUGACAAAUAAAUGUAUAUCAAAAUAGAUUUAUAUUUUAUAAAUAUAAUAAUAAAUAUAUAAUAUGGGUAGAAUAGACAAUCUACAAGUUGUGCCUUAAACUGCCUUAAACUUUUUUUUUACUUGGGGGAGUUGGAGAGGAGGAGUAGUGAGGUUUGAACUCGAGACCUCACUGUUCACACGCAGGAGGUCGCACAAAUGGUACUCUUACCAUACCUGACCAUUAAUAUCACUUUUGAAAUGAUGGUCACUUUUGAAAAAUAGAAAAUACAUGUGGAUUGAAUUAUAUUUAUAAUACUCUCUCCGUCUCACUCCAAUAGACUCACUUCUUUUGGGCACAAAGAUUAAGAAAAUUUAGAAAAGUGGUAGUAAAGUGGUGUGGUUCACACCAAUUAAGUACAACUUUUUUUACCCAAAAAAGAAAAUGAGCCUAUUGAAGUGAGACAUCCCAAAAAGGAAAAUAAGCCUAUUGAAGCGAGACGGAGAGAGUAUCAUUUAAUUUAAUUUUUUUUCAUCGGUAUUUUAUCAUUGAGUUUUUAGUAGAAAAGUUAUAGCAAGACGUGGGCAAACAAACCUUGCUAAUGAGCCUUAAUGAUAGGUUUAUUUUGUAGGCUAUAGACAGGGACUGUGUCCCUAUGUCCAAUUAUCUUGAGCUGUUCAUGUUUUUCCCUUAUCCUAUUUGAAACCUUACGUGAAAGCAUUUCAAAUCCUAUUUCUUCUCAUUCUUUUUUUCCUUACCCCAUGUGGUUAAAAGCCACAACACGUAGUAAUAUUUAAUUUGAGCUUUAUCUAAAUAAACUCAGUUAAAUUUUGCAGGCCAAAUUCCAAUUUACCCCCACAACAUUUGGACUUUUCUCAAAGAUGAUAUGCCCCCAGUGCUCAAAUAAUUACAAUAACUUCCCAAUUGUGUUAUCUUUUUAAAAUAUAGCACCUGAAGCCUAUGUGGAAUUAAAAGUAAUGACAUUAUAAAGAAAUCAAAACCACGUCAUAAAAUAAAUGACAUGGAAGGCUUAAGUGGAGUACUUUAUUUUUGUUGUUAUUCACAUAUAGGAAUUUGAGUCUUUGACCACUAAUAAUAAGUGUUUAGAUUUUGGGGAAAGUCUAUUAAAAGAAAAAGAUUUUGGGGAAAGUAACGUGUUUCAACAGGCGUUUUUUUUUUUUUGGGUAUAAAAAAAUAAAAUUAAAGCGUUGGAUGUUAAAUGAAAUUUGACUUAUUUUUUGGUCAAUUUUGCAAAAUCCAGAAGUGAAAGGACAAAAAUGUCCGCACAAUGAGCUCCAAAUAGAAGCUUCCUACCGUUCUUCUUCACAAUAAACAUAAUCGGUGUAUACAUGCAUUCUUCCCAUGAAUCUAUAUAUUCACACACACACACACACACAGUAUAUGCUUGUAUUUAUAUAUAGCGAUUUGCACUUCACCUCUGCGCAUUGAUCCUGUCUUUUCGGUUAUUUCAAGCCCUGUCACACUGAUAGAAAAAAGUCGUAGAUAAAUAAAAAAUUUGGUGACUUUUAAAUUUUACCGACGAUUGUGGUAUAGAGGAAAAGGCCACUAACAAGGCGAGAAGGUUCAAUUUCUUCCGACCUUCGGGAAUUUUGGCGUAAAUUUGAAAUUUUGAGUGGAGCGUUUUGUUUCUUGUUUUCUUUUUGGGUAUGAAAUUGAACGGGACGAUUCUGUAUUCAUGCGUGGAUGAUGAAAAAGAAGAGGAAGAAACGGCGGAAUCGGAAACCUCGCCGCCGCCGCCGGCGAGUAUUGUAGUGGGCUAUGCUCUCACUUCAAAGAAAAAGAAGAGCUUUUUGAAGCCCAAGUUUAUUCGCUUAGCUCGGUACUCCUCCGAAAUUCCUUUUUUUUUGUUUUAUUGUUAUUCAUCUACUGGCAUGCAAUGAUCCAUCAAUCAUUUCACAUUGCGUUUUGUUUAGGUCUCUCAAAUCUUUGGCUAAUUUCCGUUUUUAUGUACUAUAUUUGCCGCCUCCGACGAUUCUUGAAAUCCUCAGUUCCAUUUCCUUUGUGAUUACGUUAACUAUUUAUGCAAAUUAACACAUGUUCUGAAGCAGGAUAAUCUUUUUAAUUUUAUCUCAGAGCAUGAUGCAUGCAAAGGUGUUCUUGGCAAUACCUUCAUAUAUAUUUGGAUUAGUGUUUUAGUUAAUUUCUUCCAUCUUGAAAUGGAUAAUUUCGCUUCAUUCGGUGCAUUUCCUUUCUUACUUUGUAAGGAAGAUUGAGAAUUAUAAUUAUGAAAGAUUCAUAUUAUUGAGUGGACAGUUUUUUGCAACUGUUUGUUUAUUGAAAUGGAUAAUUCGAUUGCAUUUCCUUUCUUACUUUGUAAGGAAGAUUGAGAAUUAUAAUUAUGAAAGAUUCAUAUUAUUGAGUGGACAGUUUUUUGCAACUGUUUGUUUAACUUAUCUAAAUCUUCAUGGUUUCAGGAGGAAUCAUAUAUGUGAAAAUUCUUCUUCAGAAGGAAUAUUCCAUUAUAUGUGCUCUUAAGAUUACAGUCAACUUAUUUAUGACCUUAAAUAUUCAAAAUCAUCUGUUGCUUUCCCACUGCAGUGGAAGAUUUGGUAUUUAAUGCUUGUCCCUAUGUAAGAAUUUAGUAGUACUCCACUGCGACGAAUUCGUUUAGUGAACCCCACUUGUUGAAUUUUGCACAACUAAAAAUGGACCGAAAAUAAAUUAUUGAUUUUUAAUGCCAAAUUUCCAUUUUGUCAUGACACAGUUAUGGUGAUGGCUGAUAUAGGCUAGAUCCAUAAGAAAAGCAUUUGAAUUUAAUUUGGCUAAAAUUUAAUGGAUUGCGAAUUCUUCUGGGGAUGAGUGCUAUAUCUUCCUUUCCAGUUUUUGCUCGAAAUAUGUCCUAAGACUUUUGCAGACCAGUCCUUGCUAAUUUAGUUUUUCCCCCUUCAUAGUAUAAUUAUCCAUUAGUUGCCUGAUUUAUAUCAAAAGUAUAGUUUGAUAUUUUUUUUGUAUGUUAUGCUAUUAAAUUAUUCUCAGCCAGAUAACUUGGAAAUUUGAGGCUACAAGUUCUGAAUGAUGAUGCUCCAUUACUCCAAAUGUCUGCUUAUUUUUUCUAACAAGCAUAAUUUUUCUGUUACUUUACUAAAAAACCCCUUAUAUGUUUUGAGGAGAUAUCAUCUAUCUUUCCUGGUCACAUAAUGGGUCACAUUUUCUAAUGCAGAAACAAGGGCAUUCAGUUUGUUCCAAUUGAUCUGAGAAGAGCUUUAUCAGAGCAAGGUCCAUUCAAUGUUGUUUUACACAAGGUUUGAGUUAUUGCAAUCAAAUUUUCAUGCUAAUUGUUUGAAAUGAUAAAACAGAUCCAAUGGUCAGUAUUGCUAUUCUGAAUGUCAACACAUAGGUAUCAGUAGUCUUUUCACCAUCACUUUAGGGAUAAAUUCUGAACCAAAUCCUUUCAACCGAAAUAUUUAGUUGAAAAUGUGCCAACAGGAUCCAGAGGUUGGUUUGCGCAACUGGAAUGAGGGUUAAAACGAAUGAAGGCUUGUUUUUUUAACGUAUUGUACUAACUAAUAAAUUUCAAAGUAUAAUAGGAUCCAAACAGAUGGAUCAUAGCUUUCCUCACUAAACCAUAGUUUUUGGAUUCAAUAAUCUCUUGACUUCAGGUCAUUCGCCCCUCUCCUUAUUCAUUUACAAGUGGCACUGUCAUUAGCCAAAAUUCUUUGAAAAUCUAAGUAUCUAACUGCAAACUUCAACAAAGAGUCUGUGGCUAUAUUCUCUCCUUCAUUGCUAACUUCAUCUUGCCUUGCUGGAUGGACCCAUUUGCCAGGUCCUAUGGUACGAAGACUUCCAGGGAUGUGCAUCUCUUUCUAGUCUUCAAAUGUAUUUUUCUGCUUGAUUUCUGUUUGUACUGGAAUCUGCAUCCAUAUGUACAGAAAAGCUAGCUCAGAUUUAUUUCUGUUACUUGACGUUACAACUAAGUAUUCCUCAUGAUAUUGAGUUUCUGACACUGAGUAGUUUGAGUAUUGACCAACAUGAACCAACCUCUUCAAUAGUUUGGAAUUAGAGUUUGUAUUUUAUUUAUUUAUUUUUGGUUUUGCUAUUUGAGAGUUGUUCUUUGUGGUUCCCUGCCAAUCUCGCAAUGAGAGAGAAAAUAAUAUAACCUAACAUACCCUAAAAUUGGAAGAACCAUAGGAGGAGGAAUGAAGAUAUCUUAAACAUACAUCUCAUUUAUUAAGACGUGUAAUUAUGUAUUGCCAUCAGAGUUUUGCAUUUAUUUUCUCAAGACACUUGGUCCACUCUGCUGAUUAAUUUACAUACUUAGUUCAAUUGUAAAUCUUGCCUUUCUUAUAUGACGAUGCUUCUCAAGCCACAUAAAAAAUAUGCAAGAUGCAUAACAUGUUACUUUGUUGCCCUCAUCUUUAUUAAUUGAUUGCACCUUUUGAUUUCAGUUAGAGGGGAAGGACUGGUCCCAGGCUAUUGAGGUUUGUGCUCCCAACUGUACACUGGUUAUUGAAUCCAAUGGUGUAAAAUGACCUUACCAGAUACUGAUGUGGAAGUUCCGCUAUGAAAACUAUGCCAUAAUCCAAAAAUUUACCUCUUUUGCUGCGAAGAUUAUAUAUUAUAUCCUAAUUCUUAGUCUCGUAGGUGAUUGUAGUGUAAAGGUGGUAGGUGGAAGUUGCAGAGAAUCUGAGGCUUAAAAACUCAUUCCUGUCUGACAUAAUUGCAGAAUUUUUGCUCUCUCCGUCAUGAUUCAUGACCAGAUAGAUGUGCUUGGUCCCUGAGGAUCGAACAAAUGAGGAUUGUUCUUUUCGGGAUCUAGUAUACUUGUGCAGGUGUAGGUCUGAUGAACUUUUGCUAUAGUGUGUAGAAAACUUCUCUUCAUUUUGGCUGAUCAUCGAUUGGGCUUAUUUAACUUUGCAUUCAAACUAAUUAAAUUAUUUGUUCAAUGUUUUCGUUCAAACAUAGUGAUUUUAAUGUCCUGUGUUGACUUGAGCUAGGUUGCUAUGUAGUCCUAAUUGGCAGUAACUUUUGAACUCCUUGCUAAUUGUGGAGAGUGCACAGAAUUCAAUAAAGUUGAAACUCGAAUGGCCAUUCUGUAAAGCCUUUAUAAAACAUGUUAUUACAAAGUUCUAGAUUUUUGUCAGACUUCAGGGAAUUAUAAGCUCUCUCUUUAGACAAAUAGGACAAGAAAACUUGUUUAUGUUACUUAUUCCUUAUCUCCGUAGAAUGUCGAGAUCAGUCACAUUCAUGCAUCUCCCUGUACAAGAGCGGAGAUGAUUGUGAACGAGUUUGAGUACUUGAAAAUCUAAAAUGGAAGUAACUAAUAAAAAAUUUGGCUUAUGGAAGUAACUACGACCUGUAUAUUUGCUUGAUGAAGUAACUAUAGAUUCAUUUCUCUCAGUAUUUGACUACAGUCUACAGUAACAAUCAAAGGAAAAGGAAAAUGUUAUAUGCGAUCUUUCUCUUGGCUUUGGAGAGAGAUCUGAGGACAAUUAAAAUAUCUUGCCAGGUUUAAUGAAAUUUGUUUCUAAUAUAUAACCAAACAUUAGAAGAAAGGUAUGUGUGUCUAAAGUAGUCGAUAGAAACAAAUCAAACCUAUGUCAAACUCAAGGUACAUAGAGAAAAUUCAUAACUGUUUCUCGUUGAACAGGCCUAUUGUAGUUUAAUGUUUAUUAAUACAGUCGCUUCCCUUGCCUGUUGUUUCAAACAGAGUGAUCUUAAGUUCCAUGCUCAACAUGUCAGUCUCUUGAACAUGGUAUGCCUUCACUUCAGCCUGCACUGAUAUUGAAGAACAAGAGAAGUGGUCAAAGGAAAAGUUUAUAGUUUUAACUCCCAGAUACUAUAUGAAUUACCUUAUGAGUAAGUCAGUAAUUUGAUACUAAUGUAGGGGGAAGGGGGCAAAAACAUUUUUAAGUUCUCCAAGGUUUUCGUUUAUGCACCUUUGAAGGCAUUUUGUUGAUCUUAUGCAUGAACCAGUUUUAUAUCAGUGAAACAGAAUGUGUUAAAUUAUUGUGAAUUUUAUUUAGAACAUAAAAUAUUAGCAACCUAGAUUUUAUAAUUUUUGUACAUUGUUCAGCAUGGAUGAAUUCUUAGCCUAGCUGGAAAACAUAAUUAAUUUACAUGCUGCAGCAUCUUUCUUUCAGUCUCAUUCUACUUCAUUUUUCCAUUGAAGGAUUAUCAGAGAUUACAUCCGGAGGUGACCGUUGUUGAUCCUCCUAGUGCCAUUCAGCAUUUACGCAACCGUCAGUCGAUGCUUGAGGUGGUUGUUGACCUGAAAUUGCCUGAAUCUUAUGGUAUUUUCUGCACCACAGUACUUUUGUCACUAUAUGAAAUGGUUUCUUAUAAUUUAGUCUGCCCUUCUCUUGCACCAUCCUUGCUAUUUUCCAAGAUGGGUCCUUUUUCUUCCCAAUCAAAUAUUAUCGCUGUCGGUUAUGAUAUAUUCUGGUAGAUGAAUUCAAGAGUAUUUGAUCCUGUACCAAUUAAAUUACAUGGUGCAUUUUGUGAAUAAUUGUGGUAGGCAAGGUUUGCACUCCAAGGCAGUUGGUGAUUCCAAAAAACCCUACUUCGGUACCAGAUGAAGUCGUUAAAGCAGGAUUAACUGUACCUCUUGGUAAUCUUAUUUUCACUUUUUGUGGGGAAACCAAUUUAAACUUGUUCUCAAAGGAAUACAGCUGGAAAAUAAACUUUUGACUCUUCCGUUUCUCUUAUUGUUAAAUGGAAGAAUGUGGGUUAGUGUUUUUGCUUCUGUGGUAUAAUUUGGCAUGCUGGGCGGUACACUACUUCCAAAGCAGGAAUUCUUCAGAUUUUGUAUAGAAUCAUCAACUCAUAAAGUUGUAUUGAGUACACACUCACAAUAAACAAAAUUCAUGAUGCUUUUCUACUUACAAUUAUAGAGUUUGUAAGUUGUGCUAUCUUGCCAGGUGAAUCACAUUCAGUUAGAUAACUAACCUGGAUAUCAUCAUGGAAAUGCUAUAAGCUAGUUAAAAAUUACACGUGGCAAUAAUAUGGAAGACAAUAUAUGUAGCUUCUCUUUCCAUGAAAAUACAUAAUUUCUCGUUAUUCAGUUUCUUUGAUGAGUUAAGCUUGUUGCUUCAUGCUCUCUGUAAUAUAUAUUUGACCUGUGUUUCAGUUGUGAAACCACUUGUAGUGGAUGGAAGUGUAAAGUCUCAUGCGCUCUUCCUUGCAUAUGAUCAUAUUUCCCUAUCUGAACUGGAAGCUCCGAUGGUUUUGCAGGAGUUCAUUAAUCACAGUAUGGAACAUUGUGUUGUUGUCAUCUGUCUUUUUUCAUUUAUUGCCUACUAAACUUAAGUUAAUGAUAUGUGUAUUCUCUAUUGUAGGUGGUGUACUCUUUAAAGUUUUUAUUGUUGGUGAGUCUAUUAAAGUUGUCAGGCGUUUCUCUCUGCCUGAUGUAACUGAAAGGGACAUAUCAAGAAUUUCUGGGGUGUUUGGCUUCCCAAGGGUUUCUGGUGCUGAUUCUUCUGCGGAUGAUGCGGAUCUGGAUCCUGCUGUUGCUGGUAAGUUUGAUUGUACCUGCAGAGGCAAAAUUUUAUUUCAUUGCUCUUCAAAUCUUAUAGGCAAAAGUUUACUCAUUCUGAAAAUCAAUAGGACGAUUGAUGAAACAAUGAAACAACUACUUUUGUUUUAUUUUCUGGUGCUUGAAACCUUGUCCCUUUAUAUUGUGGGAACUCUAGUCCUGGUUGCUUCUAUUUCUUAAUUGAAAUGAAUAACAGUUGACAAUAAUGUUUCACGUAGUUAACGUAUUUACUGCAGAGCUUCCUCCACAACCUUUGCUUGAGAUAAUUGCAAGAGAGCUCCACCAUCGACUGGUAAAAUCCAUCUUCAUUGAAAUUUGGCUUAAUCUAUUCUGUUGUUCUAUCAAUUUGGCACCAUGUUAAGGAUCAAUUUCUCAUGUGAUUGUCUGAGUUUUGUAAUAUUAGGGACUUCGGCUGUUCAAUAUAGAUAUCAUUCGCCAAAAGGGACCAAGAUCUGUAUUACAUCAUCGAUAUCAAUUACUUCCCUGGUUAGUGCCGAUUAAUUUCAGAGUUAUGCCUUUUGAUGUGGACAUUAUGGCAUUCAUAUGUUCCUCACUUUUCAACCCCUUAGAUAAUUUUUGUUGCUACACGAGUCAAAUAUGUUGGCAGUCGCUUAAUUCAUGCUGUUCACUGUUUUUGCCUCUUCUCUUGUCAUCUGUGUCACCGGAGUGGUGAAAACAGCCAACUACACUUGUGAGACAAGUUUAAACAACAAACUGCACGAGUUUUGUGUCAGAAGGCUCCUUCAUUAAUUUCAAACCUUUAUUCUCUUUCUGAAUCACGUUAGUACUGACAUCUUGGUGCUGAGCGUUAUGCAUUUGGUUGUUGCAGGGUACGGAAAAAUGCCGGAAUACGAGCAUAUAUUCACAGAUUUUCUUGUUAGCCUUGCGCAGAGCAAGUGUAUAGAGUGAGUGACAUGGUGCAUGGCUGUUGGGAAGAGUAGAUAUUGUACAUUGUGUCUGCUUGUAAAUCUGUUUGAGACUCUACUUUCCUGUUAUUAGCAGAAUUGCUGGUUCUCGUAGUUUACCAAUUUAUCUUGCCAUCCAUAUCCACAUUUGGGCUCUGUUCCUUUGUUGCAAAUAUUUCUUCAUUAUCCGAAUUUUGGUUAUAUCAUAAUCACAUUGGGGUUUUAUUUCUUCAUUAGAUUUCAGUGGUGUCCUUUUGGGGGAAAGGGGUGGGAGAUGCUUGAAUUUUUGCUGUUAGAUUAACUUUAUUUUGUAGAAUCUAGUUGAUGUUUAUUUAGUACUUAUGUCAACUUUCUUGUAAAACAAAAAAUAUAUAAAUUGUGUACGUGUGUUGGCCGAGCGGUAAUGAUUAAUAUCUAAGGUCAAAGGAGUUCGAGUUCCCUGUGACGCGGCUACAAAUUUCUUUAUUUAAUAUUAUUAAUUUAUCAAAAAAAUAAAAAUAAAAAUACAUAAAUUAUUUAAGUAAUUCUAUCCUGUUUCAAAGUGGCUAGCUUUGGUUUUAACAAAUGAAGCGGUGUCUUGGGAAGAAAACACUAACUUUUAGAAAACAAUAUAAAUGAAUUUAUUGAAAUUUAUUACUAAAUUAAAUAAAAGUUCGAUAGAUAAAUAUGCUAUGUAUCAUCUGUACUUGGAUAGUACAGAUGAAAGAUGUGAUUAAUAAGUGUGCGUGUGUUGGUUAAGCGGUAAAUGGUUAAUGCCUAAGGCCAAAGGUCUUAGAUUCGAGCACCAUGUGAUGCGGCCUUUAAACACCUUAUCUCUCAUUACCAUAUUGUUCAUUUAUAAAAAAAAAGUGAUUAAUAAAUCUUUAUUGAUAAUUAAUAAAUUAUAUUGAGGAUUAAUAAACCCUAAUUUUUUUUUUUUUUGAUCGGACAAAGUUAUGUUAGAUGUUAGUAAUUAGUUCCCUAUCCACUCCAAGAACCACCUUAUCUCUCCAUUCACCAAAGUCCACCUUAUAUCUCCAAUCUCCAAUUCGCUCCCAAGAGGGAUCAAACCCAGGUCACUUCACUUAAGUGAGGACCCGGUGGCCAGUGGACUAAGCCCCCUGGUUAUUAAUAAACCCUAAUUGACACUCUUUGUUUUGCUUCUUCAAUUUACUUGACUAAUUCUGUUACUGUAUAACUUAUUUAUAUCAAUAGAUGCUAAUUAAUUGGGCUGCACAUUAUCUAAGGUUAGUAUUGCAUCAAAUUGUGCUUCAGUAUUGAGAGACAUGAAUGUCUGCUGAUCAACGUCAAGACUCAAAAGUCUAUUAUAAAUACUAGUAGUAGAAGAUUAUUUGAACUUGAGAAGAGAUAUACAGGUAGUUUAUAGCAUGAAUUUUGGAGGAAACAUCAGGGCGCAGCCCACCUUUUUAUCUUUACUUAUUGAUAUUGUUGCCAAUAAUGUAUUUUUUCGAAUUUUGUAAUUUUUAGUAUUUUUAUUAAAGUUGUAAUUACAAUAUUAAUUUUAUUAUUUUUGAAAUUCAAUCGCGUAGCUUUUCUUUAGCAAUAAAACUAUGCUGUUACAUCCAUAAAGCAAUGUUGUUUUGAAAAAAGUAUGAUACUUUUAUUUGCCAAAAUAAAAAAAUUGCAUUAUAAUUAUAACAUUUUAAAAAUAAAUACACAAUAUUCAAUCCGCCCUACUAUGAAGUGUGCAUAAACCUUGAAAAUUAGAAUGAACUAGUGUUAUACCCGUGCUUCGCACGGUAUGUAAAUAUAUAAAACUUUGCAUAUAUGAAUAAUUAAUACAUAAAUAUAUAAAUAAUAUAAAAAGAUAAAUACAAUCAAUAUGUAUAUAUAUAUAUAUACAUAACUUAAAAAAUAAUCUUUUCAUUCACAAAAAUUACAGUGUAGUUUGAGACAUAAGUUUUAAUAAAUUAUUGCGAGAUAUAUAUAAAGGGAAAAAAGAGAGAGAGAGAGAUCCUCUAAAAUUGAAUGGAAAAAGAGACAAAACAAAGUUGAUGUGUUAAAUAGUAGUGUUUUGUUGUGAAUAUUGACUGUGAAUGGAAUAAAAUAUCCAUUUUAUUGGAUAUCGACCCCUUUUCCGACCUGUUCUCAUGCUGCCUAUGUUUGUUGGAUAUCAACCCAUUUUCUUAUUCUUGGUGCUCACCUUUCUGAUGAGUUCUCGAGCACCCGUGCAUUCGUUUGCUGUGUUUCUCAACCUCGAGCCUUCUAAGUUCGUUUGGGUUCACUGGUUUUGCGGGAGACUUGGUGGUCUCGUUCAUCCCCAUUUGGCAGGACGUGCAUUCUUGAUUGUCGACACCUCUCGAGAUUUUAUUGUACUCGUGCGAUGCACAGUCUGUAAAUAUAUAAAAUUUUGUAUACACAAAUAAUCAAUAUAUAAAUAAAUAUAUAUAUAUAUAUAUAUAUAAUGAUGUAAAAAACAUAUUAUAUAUAUAAUAAAAUACUCUUUGUAUUCAUGAAAAUUACAGUGUAAUUUGAAAGCAUGUGUUUUAAUAAUUAAUAAUUAAUAAUUUUAGCGGAUAAAGGACCCAUCAAAAUUGUUGUUUUAAAUGGUUGGUAUUUUUUUUGUAAUUUAUCUAAAAUACUUACAUCUAACAUGUUGGAAGACUUCCCUAUGAAAAACAUUCUUAGCAUACGUACAAUUUUAAUCCUCGUCUCUAUAUAUUAGAAUUUUCAAACCUCGACAAUUAGUAACCCAUGAUACAUAUUGACCAAAACUUUUAUUAAUCAUCAUUACAUAAGACAUAACUAAUGAAAAUUGGAUCAACAUUGAAACUUGAAUGGUAAUAUUAGAUCUGAUGGCGUUACGAUAAUUGAUGUAUUAAAAUUCUAUACCCAACAUUAUGUCUGCUCAACAAUAUUUCAUUGAGAACUUGCAGACCAAUAAUAAUCGAUUUGAUUCCAUUACAACGAUAUAAGUUUUUUAAUAAAUAACAGGAGAUUCAAUUUUGUAAAAUAAUUGAUGAUUAGGUGUAUCUGAAGACCUAAUUUCAUUUAAAAACUCAGCUAGAUAAAUUCCAUCCAACAAUGUGCUACUUUAAUCAAAUUUACAUGCACUAUAUGAACUUAAAUAAUUUUGAAUAUCAUAUUAAUUUAUUGAAAUUGAUAGAGUUUGAUUCAUCAUAUCAGCUACAUCCAACAUAGCAAUAAGUAUAGCUUUAUCAUGUAAGUAUGAACCAUCAUCAGUAUAUAGUGGAUAAGUGUUUGACACUAUUUCAAAUAACGAAUCUCCAGAACAAGUGAGCAAAAUCUCUUGGUAUUUUAAUAACACAUCAUACAAAGCCAAAAUCAAAGCUGACCUAACCUUAUAAAAUUUAUUAAACACCAUCAACUUCUAAAAAAAUAAAACAUGUAAUUUUUAACAAUUGAAAAUUAAAUAAACCAAUAAACCACCAAAAACAUUUAAAAAAGUUACUACAAACUCUCUUGUUGAACCUCCCUCACCGUGUAGACCAGAGCUCCACUCGUCAAUCCGCCGUCGUCCCGCCCCACUAUGUUCCAUUCCAUAUAUAGUGUAAUACUAUUACGUAAAUGACACUUUUACUAACAACAAACGAUAUUUUUAUAAAUAACACCAAAUUAUACUUUAUAAAAUGUGUCAUUUGCUAUUAUAAAAAGUAUAGUUUGUAUUUAAGAAAAGUAGUAAUUUUUGUCUAAAAGAAAAAAAAAGUAUCGUUUUGCAUUAUGCUUUAAAUAUAUGGUGCAUCUUUUAUUGAUAAAAAUAUAAUUUGUUGUUGAUGAAAGCAUUAUUUUUUGUUAGUUUAAGUGUGAUUUAUAUUAUAUAAAUGAAUUGGACGGAGCGGGGCAAGGCAACGGCGGGCCAAAUCAAGGUGACGCCCCAAGCUACGGUUCGCAUGGUGAUAGAGGCUUGACAGGAGUUAUGCUCUAAGGCAAAACAUAAUUAAAAUAUAAAAAAUACUAUAUCCUAUUCAUAUUUUUUUUUUCUGUUCAAUUUUUUUCAUUUCUUUUUUGCUUUUGUUCGAUUUUUUCCCUUCUUUCUUUCUUCAUGUUCAGUUUCUUCUUCUUCUUCUUCUUCUUCUUCUUCUUCCCCCAUCUGUUUCUACCAAGUAAAAAGGCUGAAGAAAUUCUAAAGUUUUUCCCCCUUUAUCCGGAAGAGCUUUGUGUUACAUGAAGUUUGACGAUUUGAUUGCUAAAAAGUUGAUUGGAUUUUUAAGUUAAAUAUGUUUAUUUGUAAUCCAAUAUAAUUAUCGAAUUAUUGGAUAUGUGAAUCUGGGAGAAUCGCAUAAAUCUAAAAGUAAUACUUGGUUCAGUGAAAAUAUUCCAUUCCGUUUCUUCUUUUUCUACUAUCAGUUUUCUUCUUGUUUUGUUUAAUUUUUCGUGCUCCUUUUUAUUUUUAUUCUUCUCCAAAACUAAAAAAGAAAAUGAACACAAACACCAGUAACCCCAAAAAUAAUCAUAUUGCAAACAACAAAUCUAGGGUGAUUAUGGCAUGAGUGAGGAGCUAUGCAGCGGCGAAUCGCAAUCGGGUGUGAUAGCCCAAGACGGUGACUCAACUUGAAGAAGCUGCGGUGAUGAGAGCGAGAAGCACUACAAUAACAUUGACGAAAGUUUAAGGUCGGGGAGGUUUUUUAGGGUUUUCAUUGGUUUAACAAAUUUUAAACUUUUGUUAAAGACUAAUUUUAGAUUUUUAAAAUCUUUCAAACUUUUAGAUUUUUUUGUUAAUAUUAAAUAUAUAUACAUAUAUAGAUAUAUUUAUGAAAGGGAAUUUUAAAUAAUAAUAAUGGCUAAAAUUAUUAUAUUUUUAUUUUUAUGUUCAUAAUCAAUAAGCAAAAUGGUUAAUUUAAUAUUUAUCUGUUUUCUUUUUAGGAAUCAACAAUCAAUAUUUGACAUGAUAAUUUUUAAUUUUUAAUUAGAUUAAAUGACUUGUAAGCAUACAUGAUUAUUUUUUAAUCUUUAAUUGGAUUAAAUGAGUCGAAAGAGUAAAUUAUUGUUGGUAAUAAAAAAAAAUUAAGUCCAAACUAUUUAUUAAAAAAGAAGAAGCCCAAACUUACACAAACCAAUAUCCAAUAUUUUAUAAAAUUAAUUACAUUUAACAAACAACUCUUUUAGAUUAUAAACAAAAAUAAAUAAACAAUAAGUCACCGCCGCUUCUUCCUCUUUUCUUAUUUCUUCAACUGCAUUGUUUUUUUUUUUCUUCAACAAUUCAACAUUGUUCUUUUCUUUUAAAGACCAUGUCUCAAAUUAAAAAAUAUGGCCCAACUUUGAUAAGUAAAAUCAAGCCCAAACAAAACUCUCUCUCUCUUUUCUCUCUCUCAUAUACAAUCGGUCUCCUCUCUCUCCUCGUAUCUCUCACUCUCUCUCAAUCUCACAGAUACGCACACACAUCCCCUACCGCUUCCUCCUCCGGCGAAGGGCGCCGUCUUCGACCACCUACGCCACAGGCAUCUCCUCCGUCUCACCUCUCGCUCCCUGUCUACCCCCUUCUAUCACUCAGCGCGCACGGCGAGGCUGCACAUGCAUCGCAGCCUCCGUCGCUACGCCGCCGCCGCAGUCACCAUCUCCACGCCUUCCAUCUGUAAUUUUCGGCCUUGCUACCUCUCGUUUUGCUACGCACAAUUUAUCUAUCAACGUCAACUACAGAAGCAAAAAUCGGCGAAUUAGUUAAUUAGGGGCGAAUUUAUUUAACGCUUUUAGUUGAAGGGGCAAGAAUUGCAGAAAUACCUCACAAGCAUUAUUGUAUUAUUGUUUAGCAGAUGUAACUGGAACACACCGUCACACUCCAUUUCUGCUAAGGAGUUCAAUUUGUGACUCUGAAUCAGUUAAAAUGGGCUACGUACAAGAAGCCAGAGAAAAUCACGUCAAGAAGAAGGUCGAAGAAGGUAACUUCUUCUGUUAUUGAAUACUCCAUGAUUUAUCAGAAAUCCCCUUAAACCCUAUUCUUGCUUACUUUUUUAUGCUUUGCUAAUUGCACUGCCUUGCGCAUUCUUUUCUGAUUUGUUUGAUCAAUCUCAAGGUCCCGUGGCUGUGUUUUUCUUAAACGAGGUGUUUAAUUUUUCAGGCUUCCAUUUCAGUCUUUAAUUGCAGGGGGAGUGAAAAAAUUUAAUCUGUCUUUGAUUGGAAAACGAUGCUAUCAUGCAGCAAAUUUUUUAUUUUGAUAAAUAAUUCGUUUUUAAGUAUACCUUGGUGAGAAAUUAGUGUUCAUAUAUGUUUUUCUAUGGAUACACUGGUGCACGAGGUUUUGAAAUAGGGUGAAUAUAGUCAGCGUUGUAGAUUGGAAAUAAUGGAUUUUACACGGUAGAUAAGCUUGAGAAUCAAUUACAUGCUUUCGGGGGCUCAAGGAAAUUUUUGUUUCUGUAACCAAAUGCGGGGGUGAGCUUUAUAGGAAGGAGGUCAAUAGCCACACCUUUUAAGUGCGCGAUAAAGUCUUGCUAACUGUAUCGUUUCCUGAUCCCAAUUGCUGGUGCAAUGUAGAGCGUUGCAUAAAACUUCGAGGAGAUAAACAAAAGAACCUAUUUAUCUUACUUCUCAUGUUCUUUGCUUUUCGUGUACUAAGAUUCCAUGCAGACCAACAUCAAAUUGUAAGUGUUUAUGGCAAUAAAUCAUUCAUCUCAAUGGAGAAGUAGUAAUUCCCUCCUUUUAUAUGAUUUUUAUUUGUAUCCUCAUUUGUAUAUGAUGCUUUUGGGGUUCUCCUGCUAUGACAAGUUAGUUAUGGCUUAAUCUCUGUUUUUCAUCAAUUGACUAUACUUUUUCCCUUUUGUUUUGUUUUGGGUGGGUGGGGGGUGUGCUAAUGAUAAGUUUACAAUUAUGCAAUUAGAAAGAAGUGCGUCUCCUUGAACUUAUGGAACACUUGCUCCUUGUGCUGAUUUGUAUUUAGUGUCUAUAAUAUAGUUCGUUUAAUCAACUGGUUGAUAUGCACUUUUUUUUUGGUUGCACUAUCAUAUCAUAUCCAAAGUUGACUUUCAACAGUUUCAUCUGUCAUUAUGAAGUAAGUUGAGGCCAGAAAUAAUUAUUUUGGGUUUCAGAGUUAAUUAUGAUUAUGCAAAUAUUUAUUCAUCAAAUACUCCAGCUUUGCGCAGUAAGAUGAAACAGAAAGCACUGAAAGAAUGCGAUCAAUACGUGUCCAAAUAUGCUGAAUGUGCUGUAGGCAGAACAUUGUCCGUUGUUUGGAAAUGUCGCGGUGAAGCUAAGGAAUUGAAUACAUGCCUCCAUCAGUAGUAAGUCAGAUUUGUCUCUUUCUUUAUAUCUUUGCUAUUAUUUUCUUAAAAUUUAAUAUGGCCUCUUUGUACUUUGUUUACCGUUUGUUCUGUAGUAUAUGCUAAUAGUGUUGGUAUGGAAAAAUCGUUAUUUGUUUCUACGCGGUUGAAAAUUUCCCCCCAAUACACACACAGCAUCCAGUGCUUUUCUUUUUUCUUUCUAUUUAUAUUUAUUUUUUAUUUUGUAUUGUUACUUCUUAAGAUUACAAAACUUUUCCCCCCAAUUACCACACACACAGCAUCCNNNNNNNNNNNNNNNNNNNNNNNNNNNNNNNNNNNNNNNNNNNNNNNNNNNNNNNNNNNNNNNNNNNNNNNNNNNNNNNNNNNNNNNNNNNNNNNNNNNNNNNNNNNNNNNNNNNNNNNNNNNNNNNNNNNNNNNNNNNNNNNNNNNNNNNNNNNNNNNNNNNNNNNNNNNNNNNNNNNNNNNNNNNNNNNNNNNNNNNNNNNNNNNNNNNNNNNNNNNNNNNNNNNNNNNNNNNNNNNNNNNNNNNNNNNNNNNNNNNNNNNNNNNNNNNNNNNNNNNNNNNNNNNNNNNNNNNNNNNNNNNNNNNNNNNNNNNNNNNNNNNNNNNNNNNNNNNNNNNNNNNNNNNNNNNNNNNNNNNNNNNNNNNNNNNNNNNNNNNNNNNNNNNNNNNNNNNNNNNNNNNNNNNNNNNNNNNNNNNNNNNNNNNNNNNNNNNNNNNAAACUGUCCCUGCAUUAAUCAACAAAAGAUAUAAAUAUAUGCUUGACUAGAAAUGAUGAACAUAAUGUAUGAGUGAAUAAUUAUGAAGACCAUACAUGUAUAAGCUUUCCCUGAUUUUGUUGCUGCGGAGCUGCUGCAAGUAACCUUCUCAAAUUCACUUCAGUUUUGCUCAAGCCCAUCACAGAAUCCAAAGCACGUAUAGUUAAAAGACCAACUGAGAUAAACAGCAGGAUAAUAGCUGAUUAUUAAAAGGUAAAUUACUAAAAUCAAUCAGUCUGUACUGAAUUAUUAUGGUAGAUGAACAUCCAUCACAGACUUGGAGGAUUAGUCAUCUAUCUAUCUAUACUAAUAUUAAAGCAAAGAUUUCUAGGGGAAUGUGUUUCCCGCCAAUGCUACUACUUUCUUUUUAUCCACUGAAUAACAUGAAGAAUUUUAUCUGCUGGAUAAUAGGUUGCAGUGCAGUUUUGGCUCCAAUUUAUGGAGCCCAAAUUUGAUUUUUGAAUCUGUUAACUCAAUUUUUACCAUCUAUAAAUAGUAGAUAUUUAGCUGCUAAAUUUUCAUUUCCUCUUCUUUUAGAUUUGUAUUAUUAUUCUAUCAAAUUUUUUCGAAAAAUCUUCUGUUAUUUUUGUUGAAGAAAGCUUUGUUCUUUUAAAAAAAUAUACUUUCAAAAGUCAAUUUUUAGAUUGUUGAAGUCUAAACUUUCUCUGCAGAUGAGAUUUGAAUCUGUUAAUGGAGGGCGAAUCUCAGAUCUACAGCAACAAAAAAGAGCAUGAAUGAAUCUCUCAAAUGUAUAUUCAUGAUUUAUAGGAAACAUAGAUUGUAGAUGUAUUUUUGUAAUAAGUUGGCAUCAAAGAUUUUGUAUUUUUGUAUUUUUGCAGUAUUUAUCAACUGAUUCUGUAUUUUUGUUGUUUUUGUAUUUAACUGAUUCUGUAAAUCAUUUGCACAACAAAAUAGUGCAAAUGGGAAAGAACAUAACUUAGAAACCUAAAAUUUCUUGAAAUAAAAGCAACAAAAAAAAUGCAGAAAAUAGAAACAAAAUAUGCAAUUAGUACGAGAAUUUCGAAAAGAGAACUCCUCCACACACCUUUUUUUCUUCUUUUCUUCGACAGCAGGGGCAGUUGCAGCGGCACCUGUAGCACCGCCAGUAGGAGCGCAACUGCAACGAGAGCAGCAACUACAACGACCUGUGAUUUUGAAGGUGCGAGGGGCGGCGAGAUGGUAGUCACAGCAGCGACAGUCAAUUAGGGAGUGAAGGGAGUUGGGUGUUAAGGAUUCAAGUUUAGGUUUUUUAAAUUAGCAUUGUAAUUGAAUAAAAUUGAGAUAGCAAACCUCGGGUAGCAAAACGAGAGGUAGCAAGGCCGAAAAUUACAGAUGGAAGGCGUGGAGAUGGUGACUGCGGCGGCGGCGUAGCGACGGAGGCGGCGCUGCAUGUGCAGCCUCGCCGUGCGCGCUGAGUGAUAGAAGGGGGUAGACAGGGAGCGAGAGGUGAGACGGAGGAGAUGCCUGUGGCGUAGGUGGUCGAAGACGGCGCCCUUCGCCGGAGGAGGAAGCGGUAGGGGAUGUGUGUGCGUAUCUGUGAGAUUGAGAGAGAGUGAGAGUA